GAUGAAAGGCUAGUUCUGAUAUACCCUGGGAUGAAAGGCUAGUUCUGGUAUACCCUGGGAUGAAAGGCUAGUUCUGGUUCACCUGUUGAUUGAUGAUAUACCCUGGGAUGAAAGGCUAGUUCUGGAUCACCUAUUGAUUGAUGAUAUACCCUGGGAUGAAAGGCUAGUUCUGGUUCACCUGUUGAUUGAUGAUAUACCCUGGGAUGAAAGGCUAGUUCUGGUAUACCCUGGGAUGAAAGGCUAGUUCUGGUUCACCUGUUGAUUGAUGAUAUACCCUGGGAUGAAAGGCUAGUUCUGGAUCACCUAUUGAUUGAUGAUAUACCCUGGGAUGAAAGGCUAGUUCUGGUAUACCCUGGGAUGAAAGGCUAGUUCUGGUUCACCUGUUGAUUGAUGAUAUACCCUGGGAUGAAAGGCUAGUUCUGGAUCACCUAUUGAUUGAUGAUAUACCCUGGGAUGAAAGGCUAGUUCUGGUUCACCUGUUGAUUGAUGAUAUACCCUGGGAUGAAAGGCUAGUUCUGGUUCACCUGUUGAUUGAUGAUAUACCCUGGGAUGAAAGGCUAGUUCUGGUUCACCUGUUGAUUGAUGAUAUACCCUGGGAUGAAAGGCUAGUUCUGGUUCACCUGUUGAUUGAUGAUAUACCCUGGGAUGAAAGGCUAGUUCUGGGAUGAAAGGCUAGUUCUGGUUCACCUGUUGAUUGAUGAUAUACCCUGGGAUGAAAGGCUAGUUCUGGUUCACCUGUUGAUUGAUGAUAUACCCUGGGAUGAAAGGCUAGUUCUGGUUCACCUGUUGAUUGAUGAUAUACCCUGGGAUGAAAGGCUAGUUCUGGUUCACCUGUUGAUUGAUGAUAUACCCUGGGAUGAAAGGCUAGUUCUGUUAUACCCUGGGAUGAAAGGCUAGUUCUGUUAUACCCUGGGAUGAAAGGCUAGUUCUGGAUCAGUCAGGAUACUCUUCAAAAAAGGUCCAAAGCAACAUGUUUAUUUUUUGGCAUUCUGGUACGACUCUUUUUACAGUGUCUUCACAUAACGUCAGAUUCCUCCAUCUUGUUUUACUGUGGUGGUGUUGUAGUUUUGUUCUGUGUCUCGGUCUGUUGCCACUUCCUGUAGCCGUUCAGGUCUGACUGAGGGUGUAUCCCAAAUAGCAACCUAUUCAUUAUGUAGGGGAUUACUGUUGACCAGAGACCUAUGGCCAAAACUAGUGCACUAUAUAUAGUGAAUAAGGUGCUAUUUGUGACGUGAGCCUGACUCCAGGUCAGUUCCCUGACAGGUCAGAGCCAGUGGGUCUGAGAGGCUGAGGUCCUGUACUCCUGAUCGUAGUAGAUCUGUCCUCCCAGCUGAGUGACUCGGGGCUGUUGUGCUGUAGAACAGAGGGAGGAGAAUGGUACACACCGAGAGAAGAAGAAGAGAGAGAGGCUACUUUCACCGGUACACACCGAGAGAAGAAGAAGAGAGAGAGGCUACUUUCACCAGUACACACCGAGAGAAGAAGAAGAGAGAGAGGCUACUUUCACCUACAGUUUCAAAUUAAAAAAAAUAAAAAUAAAAAAUGUUUCUUGUUCAUAUACAUUUUGUUUGUUUUUAAGAUGGCAUUAAGAAGAAAGGAAAACCUCUAAAUGUACAUUGUCUGUCUGUAAAUAUUUGCACCGGUGGUGCUCUCUGGUUCUAGUAUUGUGUAGGAGAGGAAGACUGUGAUAGCGGUGUACAUGUAUCAACCUGUAGAAAGCAGCAGGGAAUCACCAUUCAACACACAAAAUGACUUUCCACUCGUUGAAUCUGGAGCAUGAAUGUCUUCAUCCCCUGUCAUCUCUCUUCAUCCUAACACGUUCAAACUUUUAAUAAACAUGUGUUGGCUUUUGUAUCCAGAAGGAGGGUGUUGGUUUUCACUGGGAUCCUGAGGGAGGUGUAGGUCAGUCAACAUGUCUUCCUGAGGUGAGGGGACACUGUGUCUGUAGUCUGUCGAGGUGGGGGGGACACUGGGUCUGUAGUCUGUCUUACUGUGUUGAGGAGUGGGGAACACUGUGUCUGUGGUCUGUCUUACUGUGUUGAGGUGGGGGGGACACUGGGUCUGUAGUCUGUCUUACUGUGUUGAGGUGGGGGGGACACUGGGUCUGUAGUCUGUCUUACUGUGUUGAGGUGGGGGGGACACUGGGUCUGUAGUCUGUCUUACUGUGUUGAGGUGGGGGGGACACUGGGUCUGUAGUCUGUCUUACUGUGUUGAGGUGGGGGGGACACUGGGUCUGUAGUCUGUCUUACUGUGUUGAGGUGGGGGGGACACUGGGUCUGUAGUCUUAAGGAAACAGACUGACUGUACGACAGUGUCCUCUGUCCAGCUGCUCCAGACAGUCAGAGUAGCGCUGGGCUAGAGGAAGGGAGAACUAGAACAAGGAAAGGAAAGAUGGGUCACGCUAGAUUGAUUUCAAUUGAAGAUUUUGG
Oncorhynchus mykiss (rainbow trout) is the source of this 2429-nucleotide long non-coding RNA. NCBI's taxonomy places the organism in Eukaryota, Metazoa, Chordata, Actinopteri, Salmoniformes, Salmonidae. The record is from Ensembl.